RNAcentral lists this transfer RNA (69 nucleotides) under Ictidomys tridecemlineatus (thirteen-lined ground squirrel). RNAcentral describes it as "Spermophilus tridecemlineatus (thirteen-lined ground squirrel) tRNA". It matches the Rfam family "tRNA". Rfam says of the family: Transfer RNA (tRNA) molecules are approximately 80 nucleotides in length. Their secondary structure includes four short double-helical elements and three loops (D, anti-codon, and T loops). The record is from Rfam by way of RNAcentral. Lineage: Eukaryota; Metazoa; Chordata; Mammalia; Rodentia; Sciuridae.
GGGGUUGUGGCUCAGCGAUAGAGCACUCAUCUAGCACAUGUGAGGCCCUGAGCUCAAUCCUCAGCACCA